UACGUAGGGUGCAAGCGUUAAUCGGAAUUACUGGGCGUAAAGCGUGCGCAGGCGGUUUUGUAAGUCUGUCGUGAAAGCCCCGGGCUCAACCUGGGAAUUGCGAUGGAGACUGCAAGGCUUGAAUCUGGCAGAGGGGGGGUAGAAUUCCACGUGUAGCAGUGAAAUGCGUAGAGAUGUGGAGGAACACCGAUGGCGAAGGCAGUGUCCUGGGGGAGUACCUGACGCUCAGGUGCGAAAGCCAGGGGAGCGAACGGG
RNAcentral lists this ribosomal RNA (255 nucleotides) under uncultured bacterium. Its description in RNAcentral is "partial 16S ribosomal RNA". It matches the Rfam family "Bacterial small subunit ribosomal RNA", at positions 524 to 776 of the family's 1533-position model. The record is from RNAcentral.